This 253-nucleotide ribosomal RNA is filed under the name uncultured bacterium. RNAcentral describes it as "partial 16S ribosomal RNA". It matches the Rfam family "Bacterial small subunit ribosomal RNA", at positions 524 to 776 of the family's 1533-position model. The record is from RNAcentral.
UACGGAGGGUGCAAGCGUUGUCCGGAUUUAUUGGGUUUAAAGGGUGCGUAGGUGGCUGGAAAAGUUUGAUGUGAAAGCUCAGGGCUUAACCCUGAAAUGGCAUUGAAUACUGUCGAGCUGGAGGUUUGGAGGGGGGACUGGAAUUCUUGGUGUAGCAGUGAAAUGCGUAGAUAUCAAGAGGAACACCAGUGGCGAAGGCGGGUCUCUGGGCAACAACUGACGCUGAGGAGCGAAAGCGUGGGGAGCGAACAGG